Molecule: long non-coding RNA, 3575 nt
Filed under: Homo sapiens (human)
Lineage: Eukaryota; Metazoa; Chordata; Mammalia; Primates; Hominidae
Description: non-protein coding lnc-IGFL3-1:5
Source: RNAcentral
GUCCAGGCCUUCAUCUUUCUUCUGUGCUGGAUGCUUCCCUGCUCUUGAACAUCAAGACUUCAGGUUUUGGGACUCAGACUGAGCCACUGCUGGCUUCCUUGCUCCUCAGCUUGCAGAUGCCUAUUGUGGGACUUCACCUUACAGUCAUACCCGAUGUGAAGCCUGACUGAGCAGAGUGGAGACCAGCAGCUGCACGUCAAGUGGCCUUCCCAGGACUUGACUCCAUAUGCAUGUUCUCGUCCAUGGGCUCAUACCCAGUCCAAAGGACUUUACCCCAGCUCCAUCUUUGCCCAGACACACUUGAGGCUGCAGGGUUUUGGUGACUGUAAAUUGGUCUUGACCCUCUGAGGAAAUGGGGAUGCUGCAGAAGACACUGGCUAAAUUGAUAAAAUGAGAUUUGUAACCACCCUGGGACAGAGCUCCCAGAGGGAGAGACGGGCCACUAUCUUUGCCAUUUAGAUGACUUAGCUGUUCCAGCCUUCAGGCCUCAGAGUAUCUGAGGAACCAGGGGCUGACAUGGACCCCCAGCACAGCACAGCUGCUCUACCAAAACAUGGCCAGACUGUUUCUUUAAGCAGGUCCCUGAUCCCAUUCCUCCUCACUGGGCAGGACCUCCCAAAUGGGGUCUUCAGCCACCUCCUACAGGUGCCUUUGCAUUGGCAACAAGCCUGUACCAUCCUGGGAUGAAGCUUCAGGGAGGGACUGCUGCUAUUUUUGCUGUUUCACAGUCUUCACUGGUGAUACCUCCAGGUACUGGACUAUCUGAGGCAACUAAGGACUGGAGCAGGCCCCCAGAAUACCACAGCAGCCCUACAGAAAAGAGGACAGACUGUUACAUUGGUGCCCAUUCCCAUGUCUCCUCAUCAGGCAGAUUCUCCAAGCCUAGGCCUCCAGCCACCCCCUGCCAGAGCUAUGAAGCCAGUAGCAACUCAGCAACUCCAUGAACAGAGCCUCCAGCGCCAUCUGAAAGCCCCUCUGCCACUGCCUCUGCAGUGGAACUGUCCUUGCCACCCUCAGACUAACAAAGGAGCAAAGGCCCUAAGCGCUUUAUUCACACCUCCAACAAGCUGCAGUCAACCCAAGGAGAGGAGAUCAGUCUGUUUCCCAUGGGUCCCAUACUCCCUCUCCCACUGCUCAUCACCAGGCAGGGAACCCCUGGCAUGGACCCACGGCACAGAUGCUCCACCUUGAGCUGACUGCACUGAGUGGCUGCUGACCUUCAUCUCUCUGGAAUGGAGCCCCCAGGAGACAAGCAAACAACCCUUGGCCACAACCACUAAUAAGAUCCCUUCCUCUGCUGCUUCCAACUUGAGGAAGGAACAUAAACACUGAGAUCACCCCAGAGCUGCAGUGGGCAGCCCAGGAGUCCCAAGUCAUAAUCACAGCCAGCACUCAAGAGGGAGAGGAACCCACACUUUCAGAGCAUUGUGAGAAAACACAGCUGCAACUGUGAGGAAACAUAGGGGAGCCAUACAACUGACCAAUAAGCCUAAGUGCCACCUGCUGGAUCACACCCCAAAGCGUCAACAUAAAUAAUACCUUACUAACAUAUCCGGCCUCUGAAACCAGAGACAAGAAGUCAGUUUCAAAUAAAGACCCCACACAAAGCCUCAGCCCAGGGAAAACAUCCAGAAAAGAAGUCUAUUGACUGUACUUAAUCUACACUGUGGUUAAAGAAACACUCACACACAGAGAUGAGAAAGAAGCAAUGCAAGAACUCCAGUAACUCAAAUGGCCAGAGGGUCAUAUGUCCUCCAAACGACCACACUAGUUCUGCAACAAGAGUUAUGAACCAUGCUGAACUAGCUGAAAUGACAGAAGUAGAAUUCAGAAUACAGAUAGAAACAAAGAUCACUGAAAUUCAGGAGGAUGGCAAAACCCAAUCCAAGGAAAACAAGAGUCACAAUAAAGUGAUACAAGAACCAAAGGACAAAAUAGCUGGUAUAAAAAAGAACCUAACAGGUCUGGCAGAGCUGAAUAACACAACACAAGAAUUUCACAAUGCAAUCACAAGUAUUAACAGUAGAAUAAACCAAGCUGAGGAAAGAAUCUCAGAACUUGAAGACUGGUUCUUUGAAAUAAGAGAGUCAGACAAAAAUAAAGAAAAAUAAAAAAUAAAAAGAAAUGACCAAACCUCCAAGAAGUAUGGGAUUAUGUAAACAGGCUAAAUUUAUGAAUCACUGGCAUCCCUGAAAGGGAGAGGGAGAAAGCAAACAACUUGGAAAACAUACUUCAGGAUAUUGUCCAUGAAAACUUUCUCAACCUUGCUAGAGAAGCCAACACACAAAUUCAGGAAAUACAGAGAACUCUUGCAAGAUUCUACACAAGGAGAUCAUCCCCAAGACACAUAAUCAUCAGAUUUUCCAAGGUUGAAAUGAAAGAAAGAAUGUUAAAGGCACCUAGAGCGAAAAGGCAGGUCACCUACAAAGAGAACCCCAUCAGGCUAACAGCAGACUUCUCAGCACAAGCCAGAAGAGAUUGGGGAUCUAUAUUCAACAUUCUCAAAGAAAAAGUCUUCAACCAAGAAUUUUAUAUCCAGCCAAACUAUGCUUCCUAAGAUCCUUUUCAGAUAAGCAAAUGUUGAGGGAAUUCAUUACGACCAGCUCUGCCUUACAAGAGAUUUUGCAAGGAGCACUAAAUAUAGAAGGAAAGACCACAACCAGCUAAUACAAAAACACACUUAAACACACAGACCAGUGUCACUAUAAAGCAACCACACAAACAAGCCAACAUAAUAACCAGCUAACAGCACAAUGACAGGAUCAAAUCCACAUAUAUCAAUACUAACCUUUAAUGUAAACAGGCUAAAGGCCUCACUUAAAAGACACAGACUAGUAAGCUGGAUAAAAAAGCAAGACCCAAUGGUAUGCUGUCUUCAAGAAGCCCAUCUCACACUUAAUGGCACUCAUAGGCUCAAAAUAAAGGAAUGGAGGAAAAUCUACUAAGCAAAUGGAAAACAGAAAAAAGCAGGAGUUGCAAUCCUAAUUUCAGACAAAGACAUUAAACCAAUGAAGAUAAAAAAAGAAGGGCAUCACAUAAUGGUAAAGGGUUCAAUUCAACAAGAAGACCUAAUUAUCCUAAAUAUAUUUGCAACCAACAGAGAAGCACAUAGAUUAAUAGAGGAAACUCUUAAAGACCUUCAAAGAGACUUAGACUCCCACACAAUAAUAGUGUACUUAAAAACUCUCCAGCCUUUUGUUUCAGCAGAACUGAGUUCAAUCUCUUUCCUCCAUUGCAAUAGUCUUGAAUAGUCUUCCUUGCCUAUUUCAAUCCAAAAAAAAAAAAAAAAAAGAAAGGAGACGACAUUGGGUACAGGGAAAACGUCUUCUGCUACAGAGAAAAAGAAACCAAGAAAUUACGAAUAACAGACAAGGAGAUAACUGAAAAUAUUUGAGAAACUGCUAGAGAUUAGACUACAGGGCCAGGGCUCUUCAAAAGGAGUGAUGAAGACAUCUAGACUCCCCUCCUCAUUUCCACCUCCCUUCCCCCGACCCCCUGGCCAGGGACGGGGUCCCUACCUUUCACAUUUACUGGAGAUGGGAGAUGAGUGGCACUGGGAAUUCACACCCUGAACC